Molecule: non-coding RNA, 31 nt
Filed under: Mus musculus (house mouse)
Lineage: Eukaryota; Metazoa; Chordata; Mammalia; Rodentia; Muridae
Source: RNAcentral
UUCCAUGUGGAACCGGAGAAGGGACAGCACC